CGCUGGCGGUACGCCUAACACAUGCAAGUCGAACGCACCUUCGGGUGAGUGGCGAACGGGUGAGUAAUACAUGAGUAACCUUCCCUUAAGUCUGGGACAACUUUCUGAAGAGGGAGCUAAUACCGGAUAUUCUCUUUUUUUCGCAUGAGAUUUAGAGGAAAGUUUUUCGCUUAAGGAGGGGCUUAUGUCUGAUUAGCUAGUUGGUAGGGUAAAAGCCUACCAAGGCGAUGAUCAGUAGCUGGUCUGAGAGGAUGGACAGCCACACUGGAACUGAGACACGGUCCAGACUCCUGCGGGAGGCAGCAGUGGGGAAUAUUGCGCAAUGGGGGAAACCCUGACGCAGCGAUACCGCGUGAGUGAAGAAGUCUUUCGGGAUGUAAAGCUCUGUCAAGAGGGACGAUAAUGACGGUACCUCUGAAGGAGGCCCCGGCUAACUACGUGCCAGCAGCCGCGGUAAUACGUAGGGGGCAAGCGUUACCCGGAUUUAUUGGGCAUAAAGAGCGCGUAGGCGGUAAUUUAAGUCAGGUGUUAAAUGCUUAAGCUCAACUUAAGUUUGCACUUGAUACUGAGUUACCAGAGGUCAGUAGGGGAAAGCGGAACACAUGGUGUAGCGGUGAAAUGCGUAGAUAUCAUGUGGAACACCAGUUGCGAAGGCGGCUUUCUGGCCUGAUUCUGACGCUGAGGUGCGAAAGCGUGGGGAGCAAACGGGAUUAGAUACCCCGGUAGUCCACGCCGUAAACGGUGUUCACUAGGUGUAGGAGGUAUCGACCCCUUCUGUGCCACAGAUAAUUCGUUAAGUGAACCGCCUGGGAAGUACGACCGCAAGGUUAAAACUCAAAGGAAUUGACGGGGGCCCGCACAAGCAGUGGAGCAUGUGGUUUAAUUCGACGGUACACGAAGAACCUUACCAGGACUUGACAUCUGUAGAAUCCCUUGGAAACUUGGGAGUGCCCGCAAGGGAGCUACAAGACAGGUGGUGCAUGGCUGUCGUCAGCUCGUGUCGUGAGAUGUUGGGUUAAGUCCCGCAACGAGCGCAACCCUCAUUCUGUGUUGCCAGCACUUCGGGUGGGAACUCACGGAAGACUGCCUGUGUUAAGCAGGAGGAAGGCGAGGAUGACGUCAAGUCAUCAUGCCCCUUACGUCCUGGGCUACACACAUGCUACAAUGGUCGGUACAAAGGGUCGCGAUACCGCAAGGUGGAGCCAAUCUCAUAAAACCGGUCUCAGUACGGAUUGUAGUCUGCAACUCGACUACAUGAAGCUGGAAUUGCUAGUAAACGCAAAUCAGCUAUGUUGCGUUGAAUACGUUCUCGGGCCUUGUACACACCGCCCGUCACACCAUGAGAGUCAGAAACACCCGAAGCCAAUGUUCCAACCCGCAAGGGAGGAAGUUGUCGAAGGUGGGUUUGGCGAUUGGGGUGAAGUCGUAACAAGGUA
RNAcentral lists this ribosomal RNA (1436 nucleotides) under metagenome. RNAcentral describes it as "bacterial SSU rRNA". It matches the Rfam family "Bacterial small subunit ribosomal RNA". The record is from RNAcentral.